AUGUUUGCACGGUUUCUUCAAACUUGGGUUGUUCGGUUCAUGCAACUUGGUCACAAACGGAAAAUGUUUUUAAAAACGGGAGACAGAAGCAGUAGAGAUGAAACUAGAAAGCCCUGGACCCCCACCCCCAUGCGGCGGGCGCACAUGAAGCGCGUGCGAGAUGAAACAAGUGGCCGGAGACGAGGCAAAGCCGCGGUCGACAAGAGACACGGAGACAGGGAGAGAGAUAGAGAGGGGCAAAAGAAAGGAAAAGAAAAGCGGUGGCAACUCUCCCACCCAAUACGCAUCCGUCGCCAUCAUCCACCCGUACCCGCCUCCCCGGCCCUCAAUCUUCACGUGUUCUUCGUGCCCCGCACCACCUCCACCACGUCUCCUUCACUCGCCUAA
Molecule: ribosomal RNA, 387 nt
Filed under: Triticum aestivum (bread wheat)
Lineage: Eukaryota; Viridiplantae; Streptophyta; Magnoliopsida; Poales; Poaceae
Description: partial small subunit ribosomal RNA
Source: RNAcentral